CCUACGGGUGACUGCAGUGAGGAAUAUUGGUCAAUGGACGAGAGUCUGAACCAGCCAAGUAGCGUGAAGGAUGACUGCCCUAUGGGUUGUAAACUUCUUUUAUAUGGGAAUAAAAUGUUCCACGUGUGGGAUUUUGUAUGUACCAUAUGAAUAAGGAUCGGCUAACUCCGUGCCAGCAGCCGCGGUAAUACGGAGGAUCCGAGCGUUAUCCGGAUUUAUUGGGUUUAAAGGGAGCGUAGGUGGAUUGUUAAGUCAGUUGUGAAAGUUUGCGGCUCAACCGUAAAAUUGCAGUUGAAACUGGGAGUCUUGAGUAUAGUAGAGGUGGGCGGAAUUCGUGGUGUAGCGGUGAAAUGCUUAGAUAUCACGAAGAACUCCGAUUGCGAAGGCAGCUCACUGGACUGCAACUGACACUGAGGCUCGAAAGUGUGGGUAUCAAACAGGAUUAGAUACCCCAGUAGUC
RNAcentral lists this ribosomal RNA (460 nucleotides) under uncultured bacterium. RNAcentral's name for it is "partial 16S ribosomal RNA". It matches the Rfam family "Bacterial small subunit ribosomal RNA", at positions 338 to 795 of the family's 1533-position model. The record is from RNAcentral.